Molecule: transfer RNA, 88 nt
Filed under: Xylaria sp. CBS 124048
Lineage: Eukaryota; Fungi; Ascomycota; Sordariomycetes; Xylariales; Xylariaceae
Description: tRNA-Arg
Rfam family: tRNA
About the family: Transfer RNA (tRNA) molecules are approximately 80 nucleotides in length. Their secondary structure includes four short double-helical elements and three loops (D, anti-codon, and T loops). Further hydrogen bonds mediate the characteristic L-shaped molecular structure. tRNAs have two regions of fundamental functional importance: the anti-codon, which is responsible for specific mRNA codon recognition, and the 3' end, to which the tRNAs corresponding amino acid is attached (by aminoacyl-tRNA synthetases). tRNAs cope with the degeneracy of the genetic code in two manners: having more than one tRNA (with a specific anti-codon) for a particular amino acid; and 'wobble' base-pairing, i.e. permitting non-standard base-pairing at the 3rd anti-codon position.
Source: RNAcentral
GGCCUCGUGGCCUAAUGGCUAGGGCGCUAGAUUUCGGUGGUUUCCGCCUAAACUCUAGAGAUUGUCGGUUCGAGUCCGGCCGAGGUCG